UGAGUAUAAGCGUCGGCGCUCGACAAGAGAGCCUGUUGGAUUGGACCGUACCGGUGGUUGGACGAGCAGCGAGGAUUCGAAUUCGGUCUCUGGAAGUGAUGGAGAUGAUUAUGCGACAGAGGUCACCGUGAAUGAAGAAGAAUCUAGCAAUCUUGUGAAGCAUAUUGAGUCUGCAAAUACAAUGUUCUCUUUCAUCUGGUGGCUGUUGGGCUUUUAUUGGGUAACUGCUGGAGGCCAAG
This 239-nucleotide unclassified non-coding RNA is filed under the name Hevea brasiliensis (rubber tree). Lineage: Eukaryota; Viridiplantae; Streptophyta; Magnoliopsida; Malpighiales; Euphorbiaceae. The record is from RNAcentral.